AGGGCUUUAGCUUAAUAAAAGCAUCUGAUUUGCAGUCAGGAGAUGUGGGUUAGUAUCCUGCAGGCCCUA
Molecule: transfer RNA, 69 nt
Filed under: Pethia cumingii (two spot barb)
Lineage: Eukaryota; Metazoa; Chordata; Actinopteri; Cypriniformes; Cyprinidae
Description: tRNA-Ala
Rfam family: tRNA
About the family: Transfer RNA (tRNA) molecules are approximately 80 nucleotides in length.
Source: RNAcentral